Molecule: long non-coding RNA, 348 nt
Organism: Ipomoea triloba (trilobed morning glory)
Lineage: Eukaryota; Viridiplantae; Streptophyta; Magnoliopsida; Solanales; Convolvulaceae
Exons: 2
Source: RefSeq, a predicted model, not a curated record
UAAUGUUCUGCUAUUUAACAGAGGAGAUGGUGAGGAUAAGGAGUACUAUGUGAAGUGGAAGGAACUCCAGUAUGAUGAAUGCUCCUGGGAACUUGAGUCAGACAUUUGUUCUUUUCAGCAAGAAAUUGAAAGAUUUAACAAAAUCCAAUCCAGACGCAAGCAAAAAAGCAGCCCUCAAGAUACCACAGAAUCAAAAAAGAAACAAAAAGAAUUUCAGCAGUAUGAAUGCAGUCCUGAGUUUCUUUCUGGAGGUUCCCUGCACCCUUAUCAGCUUGAAGGGCUCAACUUCUUACGGUUUUCUUGGUCCAAACAAACACAUGUGAUACUUGCAGAUGAGAUGGGUCUUGG